UUCCAGCUCCAAUAGCGUAUAUUAAAGUUGUUGCAGUUAAAAAGCUCGUAGUUGAACUUCGGAACCGGUCGAUUGGUCCGUCCUCUGGAUUGUGUACUGAUCGAUCUGUUCUUCUUCGCGAAGACCGCGUGUGCCCUUAACUGGGUGUGCACGGGAUUCACGACGUUUACUUUGAAAAAAUUAGAGUGUUCAAAGCAGGCAUUCGCUUGAAUAUCUCAGCAUGGAAUAAUAGAAUAGGACUUUGGUCUUAUUUUGUUGGUUUCCGAGACCGAAGUAAUGAUUAAUAGGGACAGUUGGGGGCAUUCGUAUUUCAUUGUCAGAGGUGAAAUUCUUGGAUUUAUGAAAGACGAACUUCUGCGAAAGCAUUUGCCAAGGAUGUUUUCAUUA
RNAcentral lists this ribosomal RNA (387 nucleotides) under Ctenophora sp. (in: diatoms). Its description in RNAcentral is "Ctenophora sp. (in: Bacillariophyta) partial small subunit ribosomal RNA". It matches the Rfam family "Eukaryotic small subunit ribosomal RNA", at positions 583 to 975 of the family's 1831-position model. The record is from RNAcentral. Lineage: Eukaryota; Bacillariophyta; Fragilariophyceae; Fragilariales; Fragilariaceae.